GAGGGGGGCGGCGGCGGCGGCGGAGGAGGGGGCGGAGCGGGGGCGAGGUCGCCGCCAACAACGGCGUCGUUUUCCGCCCUGGAUCUGGAUACUAGGGUUUCGGAUUCGCCGCCCCACGAUCUCCUCGGCGGGGUCGGGGAACUCGUGCCCGUUAGGGUUAGGGUUAGGGUUUGCUUCGACUACGGCGACGUCGCUGAUGACAAUAUAGAUCAAGCAGAGAGGGAUGCUGCUAGAAAUGGACCAGAGGAAGGUGCUGCAUCUGCCGGAGUCAUCGGAAGCCCUAAAAGCGAAGGUCGCGGAGGCCAUUGAGAUCCUUUGGAAUGUCACCAACCAACAGCAGCAAACCGCCUGCUGAUCAUGUCGCUGACAUCAAUUAGUUACUAAAGACCCAUCUGCUUAUUUUAAUUCUGCGAUCGUGUAACCGGCCAAACUUGAUUAUUUGCUUGAAACUGGUGGAUAAAUUCAAUGGGUUCAGUUAUGUGUUUGGGAGCCUUUUUUUAACCUCCAUAAGAGGGAAAAAA
This is a long non-coding RNA of Ananas comosus (pineapple), 521 nucleotides long. RefSeq lists it as uncharacterized. Lineage: Eukaryota; Viridiplantae; Streptophyta; Magnoliopsida; Poales; Bromeliaceae. The record is from RefSeq and is a predicted model, not a curated record. The transcript is spliced from 2 exons.